Molecule: long non-coding RNA, 1189 nt
Organism: Erigeron canadensis
Lineage: Eukaryota; Viridiplantae; Streptophyta; Magnoliopsida; Asterales; Asteraceae
Exons: 2
Source: RefSeq, a predicted model, not a curated record
UUGGAUCAAACCUUGCAGCAGUGCUAAGAUCAAAAUAAAUAUAAAAGAUCUCUGUAAGGCUAAGAGAAUUAAUGAAAUAUGAACUUCAAACUGAAUUAUGGCUUUGAUCCGAAAGAGUUGGAUAAACAGUAGUAAGGCUGACUAUUUGGAUCUGAUCCCUUAUCCAAUCCGCCCAUUUUGAGAACUCUAUCAUAUUCCAAUGAUGAACAAUUAAGUUAUAUCCAGAUUCAUUUAUCCUCAACAAAACAAAUAUGGUAAGGAAGGAUGAUAUAUUUACUUCAAGUAGUUUUUUCCAUCAUAACCACCAACAGCAUAAAGUGCCCCAUUGAGUUCUGCUGCAGCCAAAGAAAAGCGCUGAAAAAAAAAAAACAUUGAGGUAAGUUUCGCAUGCCAAUUCUCAGCAGAAACAUUGCUCCAUUGUUAGUAUCGUAAGAAUAAACACCAUAAAGUAUUGGCCGCACAAUGCAGCAUUCUAAACAUAUUGGGGUGCCAUGAAAGACGACAGUUCCGUACUUAACCAAUUUACUAAUUUACACAACAGGAAUACAGGAUGCUAGUAAGAUUAAAAUGGGAUUCAACAAGUUCUUUCUACUUCAUCUGACAUGGUGGUCUUAUGAUAAUUGAUCGUUAGUCACACCUUUUCUUUAAGCUAUGGGCCAAGUCAAACAUUUGGAGAUAUAUAUGAUCCUUUCAUCUAGUACAGCACUUUCAACGAAAAUGCAUCUAUUUAUUUAUUCUCUAUUGCUAGGUUUAUAUUAUCUCAGCCUGCCGCUCACUUAUGACAAUAUAUGUCACUUAUGUGCCAUAUGCUACAUAACCUAAUAUAUAGUGACACAAGACGGAAGCAGAAUUGGAAAUUUAGCCAGUGACAUAUCAACACAAAGUUGAGAAAUAAAUUCAGAACGCUUUAUAAGCAUACACCAAGUCAUCUAUGCAAGACACUGCUAUCUUGGCAGGUUACAGUCUCAAUGCACAUGUUUCUAUGGGAGUGUUUAUCCUCAUUUGGUUCAAGCAUAAGCUAGUCAACAUCACAGGUAAAAGAAGCUAGAGGAGUGUGUAAGGAAUAUGUUAUUUGUCAUUACUCUAAUGAAAUUUAGUUGUUUGUAUCGUUGGAUUAAUUUCCCAAAUAUCCGCACCAAGUAUCACCUUUAUUCAAAACAUAUAAUACGUCCAUUUGUUUUGUUUUCAA